GCUUAGGUAGUUCAAUGGUUAGAACAGAUGCCUCAUAUGCAUCUAAUGUAGGUUCGAUUCCUACCUUAGGCA
The sequence is a transfer RNA, 72 nucleotides long. It matches the Rfam family "tRNA". From Rfam's summary of the family: Transfer RNA (tRNA) molecules are approximately 80 nucleotides in length. Their secondary structure includes four short double-helical elements and three loops (D, anti-codon, and T loops). The record is from Rfam.